UCGUGAUCAAUAAAUAUGACUAGGUUUCCUCACAUGGGAUUUUCAGUCCAAAUAUAAUCCAGCAGUUUAGAGCUCAGCCUAGAAAACAUCCAUGUGAUGUGCUACCAGGUCAUUCAAAUUCAAUGGUUGUGUACCCAAAAAUAAUGAAAUAUGCAGAUGUUGCUUGCGCACAUUCACUAAUUUAUUGAUUACAACAAAGGAUAUAUGUGAUUUUAACUUAAUUAUACACUUUUUAGCCGUACAAGACUUGAUUGCAUGUCAAGAAGAAUCGAAAUAUGAUGGAUAAAAAAAACAAUCUCAU
Molecule: long non-coding RNA, 301 nt
Filed under: Trifolium pratense (red clover)
Lineage: Eukaryota; Viridiplantae; Streptophyta; Magnoliopsida; Fabales; Fabaceae
Description: long non-coding RNA (TPRA_LNC001172)
Source: RNAcentral